RNAcentral lists this non-coding RNA (48 nucleotides) under Schistosoma mattheei. The record is from RNAcentral. Lineage: Eukaryota; Metazoa; Platyhelminthes; Trematoda; Strigeidida; Schistosomatidae.
AUUCAGCUGAGUAGUCCCAAAUAGGACGGAACGCGCGUCAAACUGGAU